RNAcentral lists this long non-coding RNA (325 nucleotides) under Rattus norvegicus (Norway rat). RNAcentral's name for it is "long non-coding RNA NONRATT008723". The record is from RNAcentral. Lineage: Eukaryota; Metazoa; Chordata; Mammalia; Rodentia; Muridae.
UCAAUGACAAACUGGAGAAUGAGCUAGCCAACAAGGAGUCCCUGCACCGCCAGUGUGAGGAGAAAGCCCGGCAUCUGCAGGAGCUGUUGGAAGUGGCAGAGCAGAAGCUGCAGCAGACCAUGCGCAAGGCAGAGACCCUGCCAGAGGUGGAGGCCGAGCUGUCUCAGAGAAUUGCAGCUCUCACCAAGGCAAGUGGGCCAGGAGCCUGAAGUCUCCUCUCAUCUCCUGUGUCCUAGGCUCUUUUGGAGCCUGGGAGACACAUCAGGCUGGGGGCCAGGGAGUUGCUUCUCACAGUGAGACACCAUUAAACACAGUACCUCGAGUC